GUUGACGAAUAAAGAGUUGAAAAUUACAGGCUACAUCUAAGUUUUAAUCGCCUGUGUAGGAACCCAAUACCACUUUUAUCUCCCUUUAAAAUAUAGUCCCCUUUGUGGACGGUAAAUUUGUUUUCAUACGCAUUGCGGGGACCCAAUUGCUUUCUUUAUUUUUAAUGCAUGAAUAAGGAGAUGAGGUUGAACUAGAAAACGUUUGAGUCACGAAUUGUGAUGUUGAGUAGUGGUUUGGUCAAAUCGUAAAAGGUUGUAAACAAGGACAUCUGAAACUUGCAAACUCAAUGUAGACCCUAGCAACAUAAGAUUGUUCAUAUUUUGAAAUUCACUUCUAAAUAAAUUGUGAAUGUUUGAAUGAUUGAUGGUUGCCUUCCGUCAAGCAGCAAAUAUUUCAUGCAUGAUCAGGACGAGAACAAAUAAUAACAAGUAUGUGUCCGCAGUACACGGAUGAACCACUCGCACUUUAAUUUUCUAUGUUCUGUGACCGUGACUGAAAUGAGGUAAAAACUCUAAUUUGGCACUAAAAGUUAAAAGAUCAUAUCAUAGGGAUCAUGUGUACUGCGUUUCAAGUUGAUUGGAAUUCAACUUCAUCAAAAAUUACCUCAACCAAAACCUUUAAAACCUGAAGCGGGACAGACAGACGAUCGAACAGACGGACGCACCGACCAGGAAAUAUAAUGCCCAUCAACUGUCGAAGGUGGGUCAUGAAGAAGAAUACGAUAUGUAUUGUAAAAGAGGCUGUGUGGGAUGAAGGUCAAGGAGAUUUGGACUGCCACUGAUAGAUGAGGGCAUAUCGGAUAUUUCGCGCCUUGCAACAGGCAACAUACGAACUCGAUCCACAUGAGGCUUCGGGUUUAUCAUCCUGAUUAUUUACAUCUUGCUCAUCCAAAAACAUAAGUCCCCCUUUUGUCGGAAGAAGACAUAGAGUUGCCAUAUUUUCAAAAUAAUGCAACAUUGUUUUAGAUCAUAACACCGUCUUUUAAAU
Molecule: long non-coding RNA, 988 nt
Filed under: Mytilus galloprovincialis (Mediterranean mussel)
Lineage: Eukaryota; Metazoa; Mollusca; Bivalvia; Mytilida; Mytilidae
Source: RNAcentral